UACGAAGGGGGCUAGCGUUGCUCGGAAUCACUGGGCGUAAAGGGUGCGUAGGCGGGUCUUUAAGUCAGGGGUGAAAUCCUGGAGCUCAACUCCAGAACUGCCUUUGAUACUGAGGAUCUUGAGUCCGGAAGAGGUGAGUGGAACUGCGAGUGUAGAGGUGAAAUUCGUAGAUAUUCGCAAGAACACCAGUGGCGAAGGCGGCUCACUGGUCCGGUACUGACGCUGAGGCACGAAAGCGUGGGGAGCAAACAGGAUUAGAAACCCCGGUAGUCC
RNAcentral lists this ribosomal RNA (273 nucleotides) under uncultured Afipia sp. Its description in RNAcentral is "partial 16S ribosomal RNA". It matches the Rfam family "Bacterial small subunit ribosomal RNA", at positions 524 to 796 of the family's 1533-position model. The record is from RNAcentral. Lineage: Bacteria; Pseudomonadati; Pseudomonadota; Alphaproteobacteria; Hyphomicrobiales; Nitrobacteraceae.